AUGGCACACAAACCCAAAGUUCAUUAUUUUCCAUGUAUAAUGUUCUUGCUAUGUGUGCGCACAGGAAAACUCAAGGACCUUGUCGCCUUUCAUAAGCUGUGUUGUGCUAGUGAAAGUGAAUUCAAGGUUCAACAUAU
Molecule: small nucleolar RNA, 137 nt
Organism: Electrophorus electricus (electric eel)
Lineage: Eukaryota; Metazoa; Chordata; Actinopteri; Gymnotiformes; Gymnotidae
Source: Ensembl